This 459-nucleotide ribosomal RNA is filed under the name uncultured bacterium. RNAcentral's name for it is "partial 16S ribosomal RNA". It matches the Rfam family "Bacterial small subunit ribosomal RNA", at positions 338 to 795 of the family's 1533-position model. The record is from RNAcentral.
CCUACGGGAGGCAGCAGUGAGGAAUAUUGGUCAAUGGGCGGAAGCCUGAACCAGCCAAGCCGCGUGCGGGAUGAAGGCCCUACGGGUCGUAAACCGCUUUUGCACGGGGAUAACACCCUCCACUCGUGUCGGUCUGCAGGUACCGUGCGAAUAAGGGCCGGCUAAUUCCGUGCCAGCAGCCGCGGUAAUACGGGGGGUCCGAGCGUUAUCCGGAUUCAUUGGGGUUAAAGGGAGCGUAGGCGGGCGUUCAAGUCAGCGGGAAAAUCCCGGGGCUCAACCUGGCACCGCAGGUGAAACUGGUAGGCUUGAGUUCAGAACAGGCAGGCGGAAUUCGUGGUGUAGCGGUGAAAUGCAUAGAUAUCACGAAGAACCCCGAGUGCGAAGGCAGCGUACCGGAGCCAGACUGACGCUGAGGCACGAAAGCGUGGGGAUCGAACAGGAUUAGAUACCCCGGUAGUC